RNAcentral lists this long non-coding RNA (348 nucleotides) under Medicago truncatula (barrel medic). RNAcentral describes it as "long non-coding RNA (MTRU_LNC001776)". Lineage: Eukaryota; Viridiplantae; Streptophyta; Magnoliopsida; Fabales; Fabaceae. The record is from RNAcentral.
AUCAUCUUGCAAAUAUACAUAAUUAAUUCACAAGCAACAACGUCAUCGUCAUAAUCCACUUAACCAGUAUGUAUACAAUGUACAUAUUCACCAACAACAUUAUCAUCAUCAAGUAACAACCACAAUCAACAACUAAGACUCAUGCAAAUGACAUGACAACACUGCUAAGACAACACCUUAGACUUCUCAAUGGAUGCAAAUAUGCAUGUGGUACCAACAGGACCGAAGCCCUCACCGCUUUUGAAUGGUUAAAGCAUUCAUCAGGACCGAAGCCCUCACCGCUGUUGAGCAACUAGUACUCCAGGACAUGAGUCCUCUCCGCUGUUUUAUGCAUAUGCAAUGUGUAAC